Molecule: ribosomal RNA, 497 nt
Filed under: uncultured bacterium
Lineage: Bacteria
Description: partial 16S ribosomal RNA
Rfam family: Bacterial small subunit ribosomal RNA
Source: RNAcentral
GAUGAACGCUGGCGGCGUGCCUAAUACAUGCAAGUCGAGCGAACGGACGAGAAGCUUGCUUCUCUGAUGUUAGCGGCGGACGGGUGAGUAACACGUGGAUAACCUACCUAUAAGACUGGGAUAACUUCGGGAAACCGUAGCUAAUACCGGAUAAUAUUUUGAACCGCAUGGUUCAAAAGUGAAAGACGGUCUUGCUGUCACUUAUAGAUGGAUCCGCGCUGCAUUAGCUAGUUGGUAAGGUAACGGCUUACCAAGGCAACGAUGCAUAGCCGACCUGAGAGGGUGAUCGGCCACACUGGAACUGAGACACGGUCCAGACUCCUACGGGGGGCAGCAGUAGGGAAUCUUCCGCAAUGGGCGAAGGCCUGACGGAGCAACGCCGCGUGAGUGAUGAAGGUCUUCGGAUCGUAAAACUCUGUUAUUAGGGAAGAACAUAUGUGUAAGUAACUGUGCACAUCUUGACGGUACCUAAUCAGAAAGCCACGGCUAACUACGUG